This 1043-nucleotide long non-coding RNA is filed under the name Pan troglodytes (chimpanzee). Its description in RNAcentral is "long non-coding RNA NONPTRT007800". Lineage: Eukaryota; Metazoa; Chordata; Mammalia; Primates; Hominidae. The record is from RNAcentral.
CUUCGGGGUCAGGGGAGGUCAGGAAGGGAGCAGGCGGGCAGUUACCCUGCACAGCGGCACCCUCUACUGGCAAGGCAGAAAAUGAUACCAGACAGCACCUCCCACCUCUCCCUCUUAAGUACAGGGGUGCAGGGGCAGGGUAAGGAGACAGAAGAAAGAGAACUAGCACAGUGUCACGUAGGGGCUGCAGAACUGAUUAACCCAGGCUCUCUUUAUACGUUUUUAAAUUUCAGAGGUGCUCUUUCCACAUCCUUCCUCGGGCCAACAAGGGGCAGGAAUGGAAAUACCCGGGACCCACAGGCAGCUGUGAUAACUGAUGUUAAGAGACCCGCAACAGGCAGUGUGUGAGCUCCGGCACGUACUUCUCAGCCUCACGUAAGUGGCCCAUAAUAACUACAGCUUCAGCAGACAACUAAAGAGACUGCAUUAAGGUGAUUUCUCUGGCUAUAAAGAGAGCCUGGCCUGCAGAGCAGUGUGGCUGCUGGGAACUCUGGGAUAGGCAACACUGCCCUCUCUCCCCCAGGGCUACUCCCCGGGCAGGUCGAGGCCCAAGGAAUGACCCAGCAACUGCUCCUUACCCAGCACACUCUCUUUACUGCCACCUGCAAUUACGCUGUGAAGAUGACUGGGUGUGGCCAUCAUGAUUCAGAGAAAUCAAGAUCUAUGACCAUUUUAGGCAAAGAGAGAAACCUGGAGAAUUGCUGAGGACUACUGAACCUUGUUUUGCUUUUUUAAAAAAUACUAAAUCCUCACUUCAGCAUAUUUAGUUGUCAUUAAAAUUAAGCUGAUAUUAUUAAGGGGUUCAUGAACUGAGGUGUCACUCACAAUUACUGCCUUCCAAGUAUUCAUGGGGUAGAUUUCAGUAAUUCUUGUUUGCUUCUGGCUUAGAAAUUGUCAGAAUGAUUUUUCUUUUAUACUUUCCAAUACUUGACUUAAUAUGCAUUUAGUGACUAUUCUGUUUUUUUCAAUAUACAGUUUACAAGAUGACAGAAGAAUCCCAGUUCUUAGGUUAGAAUUGGAUUUCUCCCUCUACAAUUACACAA